GUUGGGAGCCCAGGAGGCGGGGCGCCUGUGGGAGCCGUGGAGGGAACUUUCCCAGUCCCCGAGGCGGAUCCGGUGUUGCAUCCUUGGAGCGAGCUGAGAGCUCGAGAACCUGCUAAGGCCAUCAAACCUAUUGAUCGGAAGUCAGUCCAUCAGAUUUGCUCUGGGCCGGUGGUACCGAGUCUAAGCACUGCGGUGAAGGAGUUAGUAGAAAACAGUCUGGAUGCUGGUGCCACUAAUAUUGAUCUAAAGCUUAAGGACUAUGGAGUGGAUCUCAUUGAAGUUUCAGGCAAUGGAUGUGGGGUAGAAGAAGAAAACUUCGAAGGCUUAACUCUGAAACAUCACACAUCUAAGAUUCAAGAGUUUGCCGACCUACCUCAGGUUGAAACUUUUGGCUUUCGGGGGGAAGCUCUGAGCUCACUUUGUGCACUGAGAUGCCAGACCUUAGAUUUUAUGAUGACUCCUCAACCGUUUAGAUCUCGGUUAUCUCAGAGGGAUCAUCAGCUUUUUAAGAAAAUUUUGAGAGAAAAGCAAGUGAAGAAAAGAGUAGUCAGUGCCCAACAUCACGGAUCUCUCACUGAACACACCAUGCCUGGUAUUCUCUCACAGUGAUGUCACCAUUUCUACCUGCCAUGUAUCGGCGAAGGUUGGGACUCGACUGGUGUUUGAUCACUAUGGGAAAAUCAUCCAGAAAACCCCCUACCCCCACCCCAGAGGGAUGACAGUCAGUGUGAAGCAGUUAUUUUCUACGCUACCUGUGCACCAUAAAGAAUUUCAAAGGAAUAUUAAGAAGGACUCCUAGAAGUACCCCACCCCACCCCUGCUCCUUGGAGGACAACGUGAUCACUGUAUUCAGCUCUGUCAAGAAUGGUCCAGGUUCUUCUAGAUGAUCUGCACAAAUGGCUCCUCUCCUCCUUCCUGAUGUCUGCCAUUAGCACUGGAAUAAAGUUCCUGCUGAAAAUCCA
Molecule: long non-coding RNA, 962 nt
Filed under: Homo sapiens (human)
Lineage: Eukaryota; Metazoa; Chordata; Mammalia; Primates; Hominidae
Description: novel transcript
Source: RNAcentral